ACUGCCUGAUGGAGGGGGAUAACUACUGGAAACGGUGGCUAAUACCGCAUAAUGUCGCAAGACCAAAGAGGGGGACCUUCGGGCCUCUUGCCAUCAGAUGUGCCCAGAUGGGAUUAGCUUGUUGGUGAGGUAACGGCUCACCAAGGCGACGAUCCCUAGCUGGUCUGAGAGGAUGACCAGCCACACUGGAACUGAGACACGGUCCAGACUCCUACGGGAGGCAGCAGUGGGGAAUAUUGCACAAUGGGCGCAAGCCUGAUGCAGCCAUGCCGCGUGUAUGAAGAAGGCCUUCGGGUUGUAAAGUACUUUCAGCGGGGAGGAAGGUGUUGUGGUUAAUAACCACAGCAAUUGACGUUACCCGCAGAAGAAGCACCGGCUAACUCCGUGCCAGCAGCCGCGGUAAUACGGAGGGUGCAAGCGUUAAUCGGAAUUACUGGGCGUAAAGCGCACGCAGGCGGUCUGUCAAGUCGGAUGUGAAAUCCCCGGGCUCAACCUGGGAACUGCAUUCGAAACUGGCAGGCUUGAGUCUUGUAGAGGGGGGUAGAAUUCCAGGUGUAGCGGUGAAAUGCGUAGAGAUCUGGAGGAAUACCGGUGGCGAAGGCGGCCCCCUGGACAAAGACUGACGCUCAGGUGCGAAAGCGUGGGGAGCAAACAGGAUUAGAUACCCUGGUAGUCCACGCCGUAAACGAUGUCUACUUGGAGGUUGUGCCCUUGAGGCGUGGCUUCCGGAGCUAACGCGUUAAGUAGACCGCCUGGGGAGUACGGCCGCAAGGUUAAAACUCAAAUGAAUUGACGGGGGCCCGCACAAGCGGUGGAGCAUGUGGUUUAAUUCGAUGCAACGCGAAGAACCUUACCUGGUCUUGACAUCCACGGAAGUUUUCAGAGAUGAGAAUGUGCCUUCGGGAACCGUGAGACAGGUGCUGCAUGGCUGUCGUCAGCUCGUGUUGUGAAAUGUUGGGUUAAGUCCCGCAACGAGCGCAACCCUUAUCCUUUGUUGCCAGCGAUUAGGUCGGGAACUCAAAGGAGACUGCCAGUGAUAAACUGGAGGAAGGUGGGGAUGACGUCAAGUCAUCAUGGCCCUUACGACCAGGGCUACACACGUGCUACAAUGGCGCAUACAAAGAGAAGCGACCUCGCGAGAGCAAGCGGACCUCAUAAAGUGCGUCGUAGUCCGGAUUGGAGUCUGCAACUCGACUCCAUGAAGUCGGAAUCGCUAGUAAUCGUGGAUCAGAAUGCCACGGUGAAUACGUUCCCGGGCCUUGUACACACCGCCCGUCACACCAUGGGAGUGGGUUGCAAAAGAAGUAGGUAGCUUAACCUUCGGGAGGGCGCUUACCACUUUGUGAUUCAUGACUGGGGUGAAGUCGUAACAAGGUAACCGUAGGGGAACCUGCGGUUGGAUCACCUCCUUACCUUAAAGAAGC
This 1424-nucleotide ribosomal RNA is filed under the name Salmonella enterica subsp. enterica serovar Chester. Its description in RNAcentral is "bacterial SSU rRNA". It matches the Rfam family "Bacterial small subunit ribosomal RNA". The record is from RNAcentral. Lineage: Bacteria; Pseudomonadati; Pseudomonadota; Gammaproteobacteria; Enterobacterales; Enterobacteriaceae.